GAAAAGCUGGUCACACCUUUGACAAAGGAAAGUAUUCGACCUUUGAAGAAGGAAAAAGUGAGUAAAAUCUUUUCACCAUAUGCCAAAGAUGGCAACAAAUAUGUGCAAGUAACCACCACUCCGACAGGUGUAUUUUCUGUGAAAUCAUGUUAUAGGCCUUGUUUAGAUCUCUUAUGGUCUUUAUGUGAUUAGUCAAAUGCUUGGAUUUUGGCCUGCCAUAAAUCAUGUUAUAUGGCAGUGAUCUGCAAUGUUCACAAUUGAUCAUUGCUUUUGCAGCUCUGGUGCUCUGCUGGUUUUUUAAGUUGGCUUGAUGUCCCAGUUUGCGCGUGUGCUUGUGGAUUAUAUUCAUUUGUUUUAAGGAGAGG
RNAcentral lists this long non-coding RNA (365 nucleotides) under Trifolium pratense (red clover). RNAcentral's name for it is "long non-coding RNA (TPRA_LNC005140)". Lineage: Eukaryota; Viridiplantae; Streptophyta; Magnoliopsida; Fabales; Fabaceae. The record is from RNAcentral.